This 22-nucleotide unclassified non-coding RNA is filed under the name Mus musculus (house mouse). RNAcentral's name for it is "oocyte_clustered_small_RNA10159". The record is from RNAcentral. Lineage: Eukaryota; Metazoa; Chordata; Mammalia; Rodentia; Muridae.
AGACUACCAUUUGAUUUCGGUG